GUUUCAGCCGCCGCGGUAAUACGUAGGGUGCAAACGUUGUUCGGAAUCACUGGGCAUAAAGCGCGCGUAGGCGGUCUGAUAAGUCCUGUGUGAAAGCCCCCGGCUUAACCGGGGAAUCGCACAGGAUACUGUCGGGCUAGAGUACAGGAGGGGAGAGCGGAAUUCCUGGUGGAGCGGUGAAAUGCGUAGAUAUCAGGAGGAACGCCGGUGGCGAAAGCGGCUCUCUGGUCUGUUACUGACGCUGAGGUGCGAAAGCUAGGGGAGCAAACGGGAUUAGAAACCCUGGUAGUCC
Molecule: ribosomal RNA, 292 nt
Filed under: uncultured bacterium
Lineage: Bacteria
Description: partial 16S ribosomal RNA
Rfam family: Bacterial small subunit ribosomal RNA
Source: RNAcentral